GAAAUGCGAUAAGUAAUGUGAAUUGCAGAAUUCAGUGAAUCAUCGAAUCUUUGAACGCACAUUGCGCCCAUUAGUAUUCUAGUGGGCAUGCCUGUUCGAGCGUCAUUUCAACCCUUAAGCCUAGCUUAGUGUUGGGAAUCUACAUCAAAGGCUUCUAGCCCUACUGUAGUUCCUGAAAAUCAACGGCGGAUCUGUAAUAAUCCUCUGAGCGUAGUAAUUCUUUAUCUCGCUUUUGUUAGGUGUUAUAGCCCUUGCCGCUAAACCCCCCAAUUUUUAAUGGUUGACCUCGGAUCAGGUAGGAAUACCCGCUGAACUUAA
RNAcentral lists this unclassified non-coding RNA (318 nucleotides) under uncultured Xylariales. Its description in RNAcentral is "sequence contains ITS1". The stretch from base 1 to 105 matches the Rfam family "5.8S ribosomal RNA", at positions 50 to 154 of the family's 154-position model. Lineage: Eukaryota; Fungi; Ascomycota; Sordariomycetes; Xylariales. The record is from RNAcentral.